RNAcentral lists this ribosomal RNA (539 nucleotides) under uncultured Alphaproteobacteria bacterium. Its description in RNAcentral is "bacterial SSU rRNA". It matches the Rfam family "Bacterial small subunit ribosomal RNA", at positions 359 to 873 of the family's 1533-position model. The record is from RNAcentral. Lineage: Bacteria; Pseudomonadati; Pseudomonadota; Alphaproteobacteria.
GAAUAUUGGACCAAUGGGCGCAAGCCUGAUCCAGCCAUGCCGCGUGAGUGAUGAAGGCCUUAGGGUUGUAAAGCUCUUUCCGCUGGGAAGAUAAUGCCAGGUCCCGGCAGAAGAAGCCCCGGCUAACUCCGUGCCAGCAGCCGCGGUAAUACGGAGGGGGUAAGCGUUGUUGGAAAUUAUUGGGGGUAAAGCGCAGGUAGGCGGAUUGGAAAGUUGGGGGUAAAAUCCCGGGGUUCACCCCGGAAACUGCCCUUCAAAACUGCCAGUUUAGAGUUCGAGAAAGGUGAGUGGAAUUCCGAAGUGUAAAGUUAAAAUUGGUAAAUAUUCGGAGGACCCCCAGUGGAGAAGGCGGCUCAUUGGCUAGAUAUUCUCGCGAUUAAGGUGCAAAGGGUGGGGAACCAACAGGAUUUAGAUACCCUUGGUUGUUCACCCCGCCGGUAACCGAAUGAUAUGCCAGCUGGUCCGGCGCACGCAAUGGCUGACUCCGGUGGUCGCACCGUCAGACCGGCAUUAAGCCUGCCAGCCUGGGGAGCAGCGGG